CUAACAUCUGGAAAUUGAAGGUACAACACAAUGUUUUUAUUUGGAGCCAUUAGUAAACAAUAAAGCAUUCUUCUUCAAUGACAUGGUUUAGAUUUCCAUGUUUCCUUUCCCUUUUUCUAUUAUAUAUAUUACGCCUCGAUUGAUGAGACUCUAGAAAUCCUAUGUGGUAGGUGAAAUAGGGCCAGCAUUCUGCCCAAGAGGUAGUAUGGCCAAACUCUUGAAGAGGCCUAACCUAUAUAGAAAGUCGAACCCAUUUGCACGAGUCGACCCCAUAUGGAGAAUCGAACCCUCAUGGCAGGGCAAGGUUGCAAGGGAUUUAGCAGGAGAUCUUUUAUGCAAUCAACAAUAUAUUUCAAGAAGCAAAAAUAAAAACGGCUAUCAUGCUAACAGCCUAACAAAUCUCCUUAAAAAUAGUAACUAAUUAGGAAAUAAUUUACCUAGGAGAUCGGUAACAUACUACCUAUACCCCUUGAACUGAGAACCGACUUGUUAGCUGGAAAUUACCAAAAAGUAUCGUAAUUAAUGUUGAAUAAAAAAAACAUAUUUAUACACUCACCAUUGACAAAUUCGUAUUACCAUACAGUAAAAAAGGAAGAACAAAAGAUAUCAAGGAAAAAGAAAUAAAUGUAUGAUAUUAUUCAAUACAGUAAACUUGGUGCAAAUUAUUUUAGAAACAUUUCCCUAUCUUUAAUACUCCAUCCAUCCCAUAAAGAUGAGCUUGCUCCAAUUUUCACAAGAUUAAGAAAACAUAAUUAAUACAGUUGAAAAUAUAAAUUUUUACUUACAUUUUUUCUAGUAUUUGUUAUUGACAGCGAUAACCAUUCCAUUGCAGAACCUCUUUCUAACUACGAUAAGCAAUUUGAUUUAUUUGCCAAAGAGAGCCACCUUUCGCAAUUUGAUUGUUUUAAUUACAAUGUUAAGCUUUUACUUGAAUUCCAGUAGCCCUUUCCAAGUGCAAAUGUUUCUCUUUUUCUUGAUGUUCAGAUUAUCUGCUCUGUGAUAUUUGCUUUUGGAGCAAUUUGAUAAGAUCUUUGAUUGUUGCUGCCAAACUGAAAGUUGCAGAUUAAAACUCUUUGACUACCAAAGGCUGGGCAGCUGCUUGAAGAGCGCUGAAACUAUUUUUUGUAAAGUAUUUUUUUGUGUAUUGAAUUGGGGAAUGUAAAACAAUUGUAUAUGAAUUGAUGAAAUGAAGACAGGAUUGAAAUGAUAAUUUCCAGGCUAUUCGAGAUGCCUUGGUUCUCACCACUCUUUUCUCAACUAAUCACUUGAAUGCCUUCCCCAGCUCCCCACUAUUACAUUUAUAGCUAUUCUACUAUAUUUCUAUUCGCCCUUUUACCCUUUUGCUAACCAACUAGUGGAACACUCUAGAACUUUGAAUGAAUAACUUGUAUGAGCCAAUCUUAUUGGAAGUCGGAGUCUUAUCACAAUUCUCCUUAGUGAGAAUCUUAAGAAGCGUUUCUUCAUGACUAUUUUUCCAUCGGAGGCAAUGUUAAGAAGCACACUUUUCAAGAUUCGUUAAAAGUCAAUUACAUUUUACAAUUGUUAAUUCCUCUAAUGAAUAUUAUGAAUGACUCUCAGUAACUCGAUAUUAAUAAUUUUGCUGGUUUGUUCACAUGCUUACAUGUUAGGUUGCGUUGCUUGCCUUACGAUUCUGAGUAUUGCUUUCACCAAGGUGCUUAUGUUUUAGGGUAAAGUUGGAUUCUUUUUCAGCCUACUGAGAACUGAUGAAAUUCUUAACUUGCCAUUCGAUAUAUUACGGAGAUGAACUUAGGUUAGAUAAUAGCCACUCAGUGACGUUCGUGGCGGCUGGACGUUUAAUCUCACAACUUGGGACUGCAUGAGAUGCACACUAAAUGUAGGAGGCUUGAAUCUUGUUCUCACUUUUAGUGUAUAUUGUUGCAUUGAUGCUAGUGAAUUCAAUUUUCUAUCUACCUUUUUGGUCUACUCGUGUGUCUGGCUUUGCUUGUGGGGAACAAGAGCAAUCACCAGUCAAAAGAAGGGGACAAAGUCACGGUCGUUUAUAUUUUUGGACACCAGCACUAUCUCCUUAGCUUUGUUUGCUGGAGAAGAAUGAUGCCACGUUUAACCUUGUGACUAUUUACAGUCAGAAAUAUAUGAUACAUGCACCAUUAGUCUGUCACCCAAUUACUGGAUUGGAAAGUAUCCGCUCAGUGACUUUCGGUUGUUGGACUGUAAUAAUUCACAGCUUGUGACUGCAUCAGACGCACACUAAAUGUAGGAGGUUUGAAUCUUGUUGGGACUUUUUGUGUAUACUGUUGCAUUGAUGCCGGUAAUUCAAUAUUCCUUCUACCUUUUUUGGUCUACACUUGGUGUAAUAUUGGUCGAUGUGUCUGGCUUUGCUUCUCAGGUACAUGAGUCAUCAAUUAGUCAAAAGAAGGGGAUAAAGGCAUUGUCCUUUAUAUUUUUGGACACCGGCAUUAUCUCCUAAGCUUUGUUUACUGGAGAGGAAAGAUGCUGGUUUUAACCUUGUAACUAUUUACUGUCAAAAAAUAUAUGAUUACUUGCAUAAUUACCUCAUAAUUCUAUCAUACUGACACAUAAUCCUUGUUGGUAUUCAACUUGACUUUUUGGUUUACUUGGCGUUGUUCUCAUAUCUUUUUUUUCUAUAUUUCUUCCAACAUUCAGAAGUUCAUAGGUUUUUGUUCUGGUUUGGGGCAGACCACUGUUCCUGAUAUCUUGGUACUACUUGACAUCAGCAUUUUUUAAGAGUUGCUCUGUUCCUUGGGAACCUGCUGUCUAAGUGGUCUUCAAGGUGGUGGUGAAGCAAUAUCUUUACAUUGUCUUCUGGGUGAUGGAAUGUGAUCUUCAUUCUUAUACGAAUCCAUUUUCUUAGUGCUGCUUCAUCUGCCGAUAGAAAUCCUCAUGGUCAAAGAUAUGUAUACGUCUUUUCUCCACUUUCUGAGGUAAGCUAGAAAUAGAUUGAAAAUUUGAAAUUAUGUCAACUAUUAAUUCACAUAAAAAAAUGUCAACACUUGCCUUGGUAACUCUAAGAUUUGUUUUAAGGUGCAAUAACCUUUGAUCGUUCAGUUGGGAGGCAGCAGAAUCAAAGUUGGCUGCAUGUUUUUUGUAUCUCUAUGCUGACUGCUCUUAUUUGCAAUUCCUCUUCAUUUCUUCUUUCUUCAAGAUAUAGAAUCUGGUUCANACCGUCAGAAAUAUAUGAUACAUGCACCAUUGGUCUGUCACCCAAUUACUGGAUUGGAAAGUAUCCGCUCAGUGACGUUCGGCUGCUGGACUGUAAUAAUUCACAGCUUGGGACUGCAUCAGACGCACACUAAAUGUAGGAGGUUUGAAUCUUGUUGGGACUUUUCGUGUAUGCUGUUGCAUUGAUGCCGGUAAUUCAAUUUUCCUUCUACCUUUUUUGGUCUAUCAUUGGUAUAAUAUUGGUCAAUGUGUCUGGCUUUGCUUCUCAGGUACACGAGUCAUCAAUUAGUCAAAAGAAGGGGAUAAAGGCAAAGGCAUGGUCCUUUAUAUUUUUGGACAAAGCUUUGUUUACUGGAGAGGAAAGAUGCUGUGUUUAACCUUGUAACUAUUUACUGUCAAAAAUAUAUGAUUACUUGCAUAAUUACCUCAUAAUUCUAUCAUACUGACACAUAAACCUUGUUGAUGUUCAACUUGACUUUUUGGUCUACUUGGCAUUGUUCUCAUAUCUUCUUUUUUUUCUAUAUUUCUUCCAACCUUCAGAAGUUCAUAUGUUUUUGUUCUGGUUUGGGGCAGACCACUGUUCCUGAUGUCUUGGUACUACUUGACAUCAGCCUUUUUUAAGAGUUGCUCUGUUCCUUGGGAACCUGCUGUCUAAGUGGUCUUCAAGGUGGUGGUGAAGCAAUAUCUUUACAUUGUUUUCUGGGUGAAACUGAUUUUUUCCCAGUUGCAUGGAAUGUGAUCUUCAUUCUUAUACGAAUCCAUUUUCUUAGUGCUGGUUCAUCUGCCGAUAGAAAUCCUCGUGGUCAAAGAUAUACGUCUUCUCUCCACUUUCCAAGGUAAGCUAGAAAUAGAUUGAAAUUAUGUCAACUGUUAAUUCACAUAAAAAAUGUCAACACUUGCCUUUGUAACUCUAAGAUUUGUUUUAAGGUGCGAUAACCUUUGAUUGUUCAGUUGGGAGCCAGCAGGAUCAAAGUUGGCUGCAUGUUCUUUGUAUCUAUGCUGACUGCUCUUAUUUGCAAUUCCUCUUCAUUUCUCCUUUCUUCAAGAUAUAGAAUAUAGUUCACUUGGUAUAAAUGAUAUGAUUCUGAAACAUGGUAAUGGAGAUUGCUUUAUCCUCUGAUGAUAUUUGUAAGUCGAUAUUCCAUCCUGGCCAUUUCGUAUAUGGUUCAAUUCAGUUCUCCCCGUGUCAACAGUUCUGUUUGGUUGAUUCCUUCUUUAAAUACAUUAUAUAUAUUCUGAGGGUUACAGAGGAUGUUCCUGUUGCUAGAUUUGAAGAACCUGUAGCAGAUAUCUAUAUGAUUAAUCAGCUUCAUUUGCUGUUGACAGCAAAAACAGUUUCAUUGCAGAAUCUCUCUUUCCAAAGACAGCAAAACUUAUUUGAUUCAUUUGCCAAUGAUCUUUCUUGACACAAUUAAGGGUGUAAUUAGUGUGUUUCGUGCAGUCUUUUAUUUAGUUGGCUCUCAUUUCAGCAGUUGAUUUCCAUUUGAGGACAAGUUUCAGAGUUUAUGGAUGUUCAGAUCCUCUGCUUUGUAGUAUUUGCUUUGGGAGCAACCCCACCCACGUCGAAUUCCUAAUAAGAAGUUUUGUCAUGACAAAUUUACAUUGGACACAGUGGGAGGCUUGCAAAGCAUUUAUUUUUUGGACAACAAAUGCAUACGAGUGAAAUCUUAAUAUCAGGUAGUGACCUCAUUUCCUUAGCAAUCUUCUCAAACCUAGUUAUGACUAUGAAGUGGCUUAAACUACCAUUGGGGUUUUGUUUCUCUAUCUAGAUUAUGAAAUACCACAGCUCUUAUCACUAGAUGGAUUUCAAGAAAGUCAACAAAGGUGGAGAAUUCAGUGAAAAAAGGCUGUCUUUAGGAAUAUAUGUUACAAGGUCCGAAAGGUUUGUGUCGGGAACCCACCCAAUUCAUAGAAAUAGAAGGAUGGCAGCCAUUAACUCCUCAUUCCUUGACACGAAGACCGAGGUAGGGGGAAAAAAUCAACUGGUGGUCAAAUAGAGUGAAAUUGGGUAUUUUCCCAGUAAUUAAUUCCGUAACUGCAUUCUCAACAUAGAAGAAAAUAAUUCUUGGCUUGCUUAUGAAGAAAUUGGCAUUAACAAGACAACUUGUUGUCCCAAAAAAACAAGCAAAAGCUACCAAGAUGCAGGACAGAACUAUGUAUUUGAUGUUAUGAGAUAACAAUGACUUUUGUUUCCACUUUAUAUCUUCUUAGAGACAAAAUGCUUUGUUAAUCCAUGCAUAAGAAUAUAUCUGCACAAUAAUUUAUUUGGACAUACAGUAGCCGUAGCAGGAAAUUUUGUCCACAAAAUCCAGUGCAACUGCCCCCACUUGGCCUCAAGGGCAGCUCUGCCUCAGGUUGAGAAACAGGCUCUGGAGAUGUGUAAGAAAAGUGAUAUCUGUUACUUCCACACUUGAAGAUGCUUCAUAACUUUCCAGUAACUUCAGUUUGGUGGCUGUCCAAACAUGCUUACAUGUGUAUGUUAAAUAUUGCUUGUGGAAAAGCUUUACAAUUUAGAGUACUGCUGUCACCAAGGUGUUUAUGUUUGCAGCUAAUGUGGACUCUUUUGCAGCCUACUGAUAACUGAUAAAUUUUCUGUUAGCUAUGAAUUAUUCAUGCCAACAUUGUGAGAUAUGGUGGCACCUGGAGUCCCAAUCUAAGCUGUUUUGAUUCAUAUCUAGUGGCUGCAUCAGAUGAUACUGACUGUAGGAGGCUUGAAUCUUAUCGGUGCUAGUGGUAUUUAUUGCAUUAACCCUACUGAAAUAAUAUUUUCUUGUGUUGUAUCUGAGUACACACAGCAUGGUUAGUUAUAUUAAUUGCUCAGCUUAUACUAACUAUAACCAGCACCAUCCAAGCAUGGGAUCAGGGACACAAGUAGUACAUGACUGACCUCAUCAACUUUAUCUUGAGCAAAGGUUUAAUUACUCACCAUUAGAAAAAGGGACAAAGUUAGUGUCCUGGGUGUUGACCUUGGGUACCAGCAUCAAGUCCUAAGCUUUCUUUACUGAAGAAGAAAGAGGCAUUUGACCCUGGGACCAUGUAAGCUGUUUGCUACAUAAUAAGCAAUUGUGAGGAAACAUGCUCAUUAUUGCUCUGACAUACGAGCUCCAAGCAUCUCUGAGAACUGUCCAAACCAACAAAAGGAAACUAAAGUGCCUCUGUAAAGCACUAUCUGAAUCACAUUCAAAUCAAUAAUUGUAUUACAUUGAUGACGACUGGCAAAUACGAGGUUACUAAAGGUGUUUGGUACGCAGUUUUGUUUGCAUCAAAGUCUGUUAAAUUUAGUUCAUAAUCUGUCUAACUUAAGCAGUGAACUCAAUGCUAAAGUGCCUCAUGCCUCACUCCAACGGCUGCAUUUUUCUGCUCUUUUCUCGUGAAAUUUGAUAUUCGUUGGUAGAAGUAUGAAAUAUCAGGUAUGAUGGGAUAUCUUGCAGUGAGAUUAAAGUUUAGAUAUCUAUUGCAUGGAUUGAAGAUUGCACUUCAGAUAAUAAUACUUUAGUAGUUCCUUGCCCUUUUGCAUUUUGAUCAAAAUUAUGCUGAAGUUUUAUAGUGAGGAUGAAAUGCUGAAAGAUAAGCAAUUUAUUUAUGACAUGUUAAAGCCAUUGGUUACUGAUAUAUAUGAUAUUAUGAUAAAACUGGAUCAAGACGUGGUCAAUAGCGUCUGGGUGGUGGUAUGGUUACAGUUAACGUUUCAUUCUACAGAGCGUCGUUCUUUGAGGUGAGUGGUUAUCGAUCUUCCUUUUCUUUAGAUUCCAUAUCUAACUCCUUUUCUUCUGUUUUUAGUUUUGCAGAAUGUAUUAUUUUUUCCCCAUUACUAUUUUGUGUUCAUCGGAAAUGGUACCGUCUAGUUAUGAUUAUUUAAUAGACCUAUAACUGUGGUUUAAUUGUUUUCAAUUUGCAAUUUGGGUUCUUAACUUGUUGGUAAAUUUGUCUAAUUGUGUUUUGCGAGAAGCCUAAGAUUGGAUUGUAGUUGAGGGAGGACUGUGCUGGUCGUCUGAGGUGACCUCAUACAUGACGAUAAUAGAAAUGUCUCUUGGCUGGAGGUUGAUGAAACUCUUAUUCUUGGGUAUGUUACUUGAUUCAAUUGAGAUUCAAAUGUGGUCUUUUAUGGAAAAUAAGUUGUCCCAGUUCUUUUAUGUUAUAUUUAGUUCCUCUACCAUCGUGAUAUGUUUUAGUUUAACACAGUUUCCAAAGAAAUUUAUUUUGUAAGGCACUUGAUAGGAAAUGCCUUAGGUGUUGAAGUGGAUUUCUUAUCUUUAUCAUCAGGUCGAAAGUGUGGAAUAUGUAUGUACUUUCAUGAUAAUGUUGGGUGCAAUAUCAUGAAUACAAAUAGCUAUCUGUAUCUUGAUGGUACAUGUAGGAAAUUGAAGCUUGGAAGUAUUCUACCUGGUGAUUAACAAGAUUGUUAUGUAAUGUGAGUGAAGUAGUUGCAGCUAUGCUACAAACGUAGUUUUUGAAAUGUCUUUGUUUGGUACUUAAUUAUGUGAAUUUAAUUAGUCUUCCUGAUUAUCAUAAAUGAUUUUAUUUCCCUCUUGCAUUUUUGGUUCAUAGUCAAAUGCUGCCUAGAUCCCAAAGAAAUAUAAGGAGUUGGUAGAAUUAUAAAGGAAUGCUUGGAACUACUAUCAUUUUACCAAUAUUUUCCCUCCAUUUCACAAUUCUCUCAGUUUUAGAAUCUCUCUUUUCAUAAUAAUUUGAAUAUUUGCUUAGCAUAAUUUUUUGCAAGUGUUUAUAAACAGAUGAAAAUGAGUAAUAGAUAGUACUUAUAGGUCUUACGAAAUAUGCACUAUUAUACCCAUGUAGUAUGUUUGUAGAACUCCACUUAGAGUUCCCACGCAGGUUAUGUAGGGUUGAUUGCCAACUAGUUUUAGUAGUUGAGAUAUCAACAAAGAAAGAAAAUGUAGAGGGGAAAGAUUUAACAUAGUUUAUGGAUAGUGGCUGUAAUUCAAUGGUUUGGUGUUAGGAUGCAUGUUGCAUUGUUGCUUCAUUCUGUGUCGGUUUUGGUCUAGGUAGUAGACUCUUUUAACUCCGCCUAUGUUGCAUGUUCGCUUGAUACAGCCGGUCCCAAGCGCGAUAAAAGAGGAGGGAUGAGCUGACAUAUGGUGCAGUUGCCAAAUGGAUAAAGAUCUCGUGUGGAGUAUUUUUAAUGUUCUCACGUCUCGAUUUAGUCAUUUCGAGUAUGUGAUUGAUUCUGCAAUUAAUAGUUUUCUUAUACUCAUCUCCUUUUUUGAUUGCACAUAUUUUCUCAAUGAUCGGAUUGGUUAUAUGGUUAUAUCGUUUGGAUUCAUGGAAAGAUUGAUCAUUUAUUCAAAAGUUGUAUGAUAACUUGGAUUCAUACUUUUUGUAGUUUAUUAAUUUUUGCAUAUUUUGACAUGGUAAGAAGAA
RNAcentral lists this long non-coding RNA (8541 nucleotides) under Olea europaea subsp. europaea. The record is from RNAcentral. Lineage: Eukaryota; Viridiplantae; Streptophyta; Magnoliopsida; Lamiales; Oleaceae.